CGGGACCGAAGAGGUGACAGCCUCGGCGGGGCGGCGCUAGGCGGCAGUGACCGCCAGAGUCCCGGGUGCGUGUGCACGUGUGUGUGCGCACGUGUGCGCGCGCUCCGCCCGGUCCCGGGCAGCCACCUGUCACUCACGGGGGCAAAGGGGCCGCGGCGGAGAGGACGCAGAGGGGGCGGGGCGGCGGCCGGAGAGGGGCGGCGCCGAGGCCGGUCCCGCGGAGGCCCUCCCGGCGGAACCCCGCGUGCUGCAGCCAUGGAGACGCGGUAAUCCCCUCCUCCGGCCCGCGCCCCGGCCCCCGCAGCCGUCGCCGAUUGGUCGCCCUUUGCUCCCUGACCCUCUCGCCGCCUCCGAGGCCACCGCUUCCUGCUCGGUUGCCGCGCCGCGCUCCCGGCCCGGGGCGGAGCUCGGGCGCCGGGCGCGCGCCGCUUUCGCCGCGGCCGAGCAGCAGCCGGCGCCGGAGGAGGAGCCGCCGCCGCGCCCUUCCCCUUCCUCCGCUCCUCCCCCGGCCCUCUCCCCGCCCGCGCCGGCCCCAGGCAGCACUUGCGAGCAGCGGCGGCCGCGGCCGGCGGCCGAAAGGGGAGAAUGCGGCGGCGCUCGCGGAUGCUGCUCUGCUUCGCCUUCCUGUGGGUGCUGGGCAUCGCCUACUACAUGUACUCGGGGGGCGGCUCCGCGCUGGCCGCGGGCGCGGGCGGCAGCGCCGGCAGGAAGGAGGACUGGAAUGAAAUUGACCCAGUUAAAAAGAAAGACCUUCAUCAUAGCAACGGGGAUGAGAAAGCACAAAGCGUGGAGACCCUCCCUCCAGUGCUCCCGGUGACGCUCACAGAAAGCAAAAGCAGAAUUUGAGAUGGAACAUCUCUUGGGUGAUGGUCUCUUCUCUGGCUGUGGAGGGGGCUCCACCGUUCCUGGU
This 910-nucleotide long non-coding RNA is filed under the name Ailuropoda melanoleuca (giant panda). RNAcentral describes it as "lncRNA (ENSAMEG00000030840.1)". The record is from RNAcentral. Lineage: Eukaryota; Metazoa; Chordata; Mammalia; Carnivora; Ursidae.